Molecule: long non-coding RNA, 741 nt
Organism: Prosopis cineraria
Lineage: Eukaryota; Viridiplantae; Streptophyta; Magnoliopsida; Fabales; Fabaceae
Exons: 2
Source: RefSeq, a predicted model, not a curated record
CAUAGUUGUAUGCGGAGCUUCCUGAACUCCAACGCUGAAAGGAGGUGAUGGGGGGUAGACUUAGCUGCUGGUUCAUGGACACCUAUGGCUUUCGCAAAUGAAAUCAAACAAUGCGUAGGUCAAGGGUCUGCAUGAACUUGGAGACAGAUCUACCUUUAUCCUUUUUGUUAUUGGAGUGAAGGGAGCUCCGCAGUCAUCUAUAUUCUCUGCAAUGAAAAUGUAUUUGCACACAACAUCGGUAGAUAUUAUCAUGCCAUGACCCUAAUUCAAAGGUUUACUGAUCUCCAGAAGGUCGGAGAUACAGUAUAUGAUCCUAAUUGAAUGGUUUAAAGCUUCAAUAUGUAGUUGUAUGUGCGGGAGAUACACGACACUUAUUCUAAUGAAUUGUUUGCGUGGCUUUCCUAAGAUAUGACAUUAAGUAUGGGUCCAUUUCUGGCCGAGAAAAGUAUGGGUCCAUGUAUAAUGUUUCAGUUUUUAUUGCAGGUGACAAGUAUUUCCGUGCCUCUCCGAUUGUUUGAUUUUGAUUGAUGAUGUACAAGGUGGAGGAUUUUUUUUCUUUAUACAAAAGAAUUUAGAGGAAAUUUACAGAGCCGAAACAAGGCCUAUAGCUUGAGAGUGUUUACAGUUUACUUGUACUGUAAACUUGUGCAAAAUAAAUACAACUUUUUAUUGGAAGAAUACUAAUGAAGAAUCCCUGAAAAAAUUUAAUAUUUGAUAAAAAUUUCACUUCUUGGUGGUUAA